Molecule: ribosomal RNA, 492 nt
Filed under: uncultured bacterium
Lineage: Bacteria
Description: partial 16S ribosomal RNA
Rfam family: Bacterial small subunit ribosomal RNA
Source: RNAcentral
AUUGAACGCUGGCGGCAUGCUUUACACAUGCAAGUCGAACGGUAACAGGCCUUCGGGUGCUGACGAGUGGCGAACGGGUGAGUAAUGCAUCGGAACGUGCCCAGAGGUGGGGGAUAACGCAGCGAAAGCUGUGCUAAUACCGCAUGUGAUCUGAGGAUGAAAGCGGGGGACCAGGCAGCAAUGUUUGGCCUCGCGCCUUUGGAGCGGCCGAUGUCGGAUUUGGUAGUUGGUGGGGUAAAGGCCUACCAAGCCGACGAUCUGUAGCUGGUCUGAGAGGACGGCCACCCACACGGGGACGGAGACACGGCCCAGACUCCUGCGGGAGGCAGCAGUGGGGAAUGGUGGACAAUGGGCGGAAGCCUGAUCCAGCAAUGCCGCGUGCGAGAAGAAGGCCUUCGGGUUGUAAACCGCUUUUGUACGGAACGAAAAGGCUCUGGCUAAUACCUGGGGCUGAUGACGGUACCGGAAGAAUAAGCACCGGCUAACUACGUG